CCUUUCCUCUGCUGCAGGAUACAGAAGUUCCUCACACCACAGAUCAUUGCUCAGGAAUUUGGCCCUGAAGAGAGAAAGAUACUGGGGUCAGCAGCCCUUUUCAACUUCCUCUCCAAACUUGGACUGGAGAAAUUUUAUCCCAACAAGCUCACUCUUCGCUCUCUCUUGGAAAUCAACAAAAACAGUAUUUAUGAUGAAACUGUUGAAUCACUGGAGAAAAUACCAUGGUGCUUUCUCAGGAA
Scomber scombrus (Atlantic mackerel) is the source of this 242-nucleotide long non-coding RNA. RefSeq lists it as uncharacterized. The transcript is spliced from 3 exons. NCBI's taxonomy places the organism in Eukaryota, Metazoa, Chordata, Actinopteri, Scombriformes, Scombridae. The record is from RefSeq and is a predicted model, not a curated record.